GAUGAAGAACGCAGCAAAAUGCGAUAAGUAAUGUGAAUUGCAGAAUUCAGUGAAUCAUCGAAUCUUUGAACGCACAUUGCGCCCGCUGGUAUUCCGGCGGGCAUGCCUGUUCGAGCGUCAUUUCAACCCUCAAGCCCCCGGGUUUGGUGUUGGGGAUCGGCUCUGCCCUUCUGGGCGGUGCCGCCCCCGAAAUACAUUGGCGGUCUCGCUGCAGCCUCCAUUGCGUAGUAGCUAACACCUCGCAACUGGAACGCGGCGCGGCCAUGCCGUAAAACCCCAACUUCUGAAUGUUGACCUCGGAUCAGGUAGGAAUACCCGCUGAACUUAAGCAUAUCAAUAAACGGAGGA
This 348-nucleotide unclassified non-coding RNA is filed under the name soil metagenome. RNAcentral describes it as "partial contains 5.8S ribosomal RNA, internal transcribed spacer 2, and large subunit ribosomal RNA". The stretch from base 1 to 120 matches the Rfam family "5.8S ribosomal RNA", at positions 35 to 154 of the family's 154-position model. The record is from RNAcentral.